This 376-nucleotide unclassified non-coding RNA is filed under the name Hevea brasiliensis (rubber tree). The record is from RNAcentral. Lineage: Eukaryota; Viridiplantae; Streptophyta; Magnoliopsida; Malpighiales; Euphorbiaceae.
CUCCCUUCUUUCUAUGCUCUGCAAUAAUGCACUCGAGCAACUUCACCCCCUCAUCAUCUAAUGCAACAGAAGGCUCAUCCAGCAACCAAAUUGGCCGAUCAAUAGCCACCAACCGCGCCAGCUGCAGCCUCUUCCGCUGGCCCAUCGACAGCAUUCUCGCCUUCUCUUUUGCCAAUCUUCCAAGCCCCAUCAACUCAAGGGCGGGUAGAGAAUUCCCUUGCUUGCCUUCAAGAAUCUCAAACCAUUGAACAUUGUCAAGGACAGUAAACUUUUCUUUGAUAGCAUCUUUCAGGGAGAGCCAGUUGAGAUGAAGCUUAUACUGGUGGAAGACUCCAGAUUCUGUCACAUCAUGACCAUUCCAAAGGAUCUGACCAGC